Molecule: ribosomal RNA, 541 nt
Filed under: uncultured bacterium
Lineage: Bacteria
Description: bacterial SSU rRNA
Rfam family: Bacterial small subunit ribosomal RNA
Source: RNAcentral
ACUAAAUAGAUACCCCGGUAGUCCACGCCCUAAACGAUGUCUACUAGUUGUCGGGUCUUAAUUGACUUGGUAAACGCAGCUAAACGCGUGAAAGUAGACCGCCUGGGGAGUACGGUCGCAAGAUUAAAACUCAAAGGAAUUGACGGGACCCGCACAAGCGGUGGAUGAUGUGGAUUAAUUCGAUGCAACGCGAAAACCUUACCUACCCUUGACAUGUCAGGAACCUCUGAGAGAUUAGAGGGUGCCCGAAAGGGAGCCUGAACACAGGUGCUGCAUGGCUGUCGUCAGCUCGUGUCGUGAGAUGUUGGGUUAAGUCCCGCAACGAGCGCAACCCUUGUCAUUAGUUGCUACGAAAGGGCACUCUAAUGAGACUGCCGGUGACAAACCGGAGGAAGGUGGGGAUGACGUCAAGUCCUCAUGGCCCUUAUGGGUAGGGCUUCACACGUCAUACAAUGGUACAUACAGAGGGCUGCCAACCCGCGAGGGGAGCUAAUCCCAGAAAGUGUAUCGUAGUCCGGAUUGUAGUCUGCAACUCGACUAC